UUUUUAAUUUUAUCAAUCUAUCAUAACAUUUUCCAUAUGAAAUAGUAUCAUAAUCUUCAUGUAAGUCCUAUUUUUUCAUGCUUAAUUAUAAGAUUGAUUCCUUUUCCUUUUUAUUUGUCAAGGAUGCACUCUGCAGUUACAUCAAGAAUGUUUUUCAACAAAAGAAAAAAGAAGGUACAUCAAGAAGGUUUAUUCACUAUUUUUUGCAUAAUUAUUUAGAAAGUCUUAGCAACGGAUUUGUGUUUAGAUCAAUUUUAGGCCAUUUGUGUUGUUUCCAUAGAUUUGUCCUAAACUGAGAUAUU
This 302-nucleotide long non-coding RNA is filed under the name Coffea arabica (coffee). RNAcentral's name for it is "long non-coding RNA (CARA_LNC008352)". Lineage: Eukaryota; Viridiplantae; Streptophyta; Magnoliopsida; Gentianales; Rubiaceae. The record is from RNAcentral.